AUCAGCCGCCGGAGGCGCGUCAACCGAGGUCACUUUGCUGCCUAUCAGGGCAUAGGCUCGAUCAUCGGCACGGUAAGGCUGCAGAACGGCGUGCC
Molecule: small RNA, 95 nt
Filed under: Sinorhizobium meliloti 2011
Lineage: Bacteria; Pseudomonadati; Pseudomonadota; Alphaproteobacteria; Hyphomicrobiales; Rhizobiaceae
Description: putative ncRNA
Source: RNAcentral